This 489-nucleotide ribosomal RNA is filed under the name uncultured bacterium. RNAcentral's name for it is "partial 16S ribosomal RNA". It matches the Rfam family "Bacterial small subunit ribosomal RNA", at positions 29 to 504 of the family's 1533-position model. The record is from RNAcentral.
AGUGAACGCUGGCGGUAGGCCUAACACAUGCAAGUCGAACGGCAGCACAGUAAGAGCUUGCUCUUACGGGUGGCGAGUGGCGGACGGGUGAGGAAUACAUCGGAAUCUACUUUUUCGUGGGGGAUAACGUAGGGAAACUUACGCUAAUACCGCAUACGACCUACGGGUGAAAGCAGGGGAUCUUCGGACCUUGCGCGAUUGAAUGAGCCGAUGUCGGAUUAGCUAGUUGGCGGGGUAAAGGCCCACCAAGGCGACGAUCCGUAGCUGGUCUGAGAGGAUGAUCAGCCACACUGGAACUGAGACACGGUCCAGACUCCUACGGGAGGCAGCAGUGGGGAAUAUUGGACAAUGGGCGCAAGGCUGAUCCAGCCAUACCGCGUGGGUGAAGAAGGCCUUCGGGUUGUAAAGCCCUUUUGUUGGGAAAGAAAAGCAGCAGGUUAAGACCCCGCUGUUCUGACGGUACCCAAAGAAUAAGCACCGGCUAACUUC